This 139-nucleotide non-coding RNA is filed under the name Gymnodinium catenatum. Lineage: Eukaryota; Dinophyceae; Gymnodiniales; Gymnodiniaceae. The record is from RNAcentral.
CAUCGGCCGAGGCAGUCGGCGACGCUUCAGAUCCGCACGAGAGCAAAGCGGAAGAAGGCCCGACGGAUGCGGCCAGCGACCGCGCCGGCGAACUGGAGACGAAGUCAGACGCUCCGCCCAGCAGGGCGAGCCGGCCGCA